Long non-coding RNA from Ictalurus punctatus (channel catfish), 936 nucleotides. The record is from Ensembl. NCBI's taxonomy places the organism in Eukaryota, Metazoa, Chordata, Actinopteri, Siluriformes, Ictaluridae.
UGGAGUUCUCACAGCGGGGUGAAUGGGAGAUGACUCGAAAGAGCUCUGGUUGUAGGAUACUCCAUACUGGACCUUUAGGGGCUCCAGCAGCUUUAGUUACGUGUAUAACGGGAGCCAGGGUGCCGGACAUAGCAGGUAGUCUUAGGGUCUUAGCUUGGGGAUGGUAAACCUGUGCAUUCGGCUGCCUGCGUAUGUGCACGUGUGUGUUUGUCUCUCUGCCACACACACAGCACAGGGGUUUCCCCUACAAGGUAAAACCCUUACUCAACCCUGAAAUCUGAUUCCUGGAUGAUUUAUAAUCCGGCAUGACUCUGACGGGGAGUUCUUAAAAUAUUUCGGAGGACAGUUGUGUGGAGGUCUUGGAACUGGAGCUUGGAAUGCUUGACCUAUGAAAAGCUUGACACUUCCAGACCAGGGUCCUGAUCUAUCCAAAGAGGUGCCAUGUAAAGUAGCUGAGUUCAGCACACAGAGGUUCUUCUCUUGUUAUUUAUCAACCGAAGAUGACAUAUUAACAGUGCCGCUAAUGAGCCAGCUCUUUCUAAAGGUCACGCCUCGGUUCUGACAAGGAAAACGGUCCAAAAUUCCCGCCAUAAUGAGUUUGGCUCAGACAUGAGUGCAGGAAGUGUGUGUUAUGGCAUUUCACAGCGCCUCCAUCCAGCUGUCUCGGGGCUCAACUGCUGCUUGCGUUUUGUCAGAAUACAUUUCAACAAGUGUUUGAACCCAGGAAUGUUUGAGAGUGUGUGUGUGUGUGUGUGUGUGUGCACUAUAGAUCACUCUAAGUCAUCAUACUGAGAUGAGUACGUGAUAUUUUUGGGUUGUGAGUUUUCCAGAAUGGAAGUUCCCUACCCUGUGGCAUUUGUGUGUGUGUGUGUGUGUUUGUGUGUGUGUGUGUGUGUGUGUGUUUGCUUUGAUCACUACUGGAAGGUUUAUCUAGCA